UGUAUCUGAAGCCUGAAGAGGAUGAGAAUCUCCGGGGGCAAGAGGUUCGACCCGAGCGAAGCGAGAGAACGUUGCGUCAGCAACGGCCCGCAGGGCGAGCCAUCCUCUAUCACCGGCAG
This 119-nucleotide small RNA is filed under the name Salmonella enterica. RNAcentral describes it as "RtT sRNA". It matches the Rfam family "RtT RNA". From Rfam's summary of the family: This family represents a bacterial cis-regulatory element known as RtT RNA. The exact function of RtT is unknown although it is thought that it may be involved in changing the cellular response in relation to amino acid starvation. The record is from RNAcentral. RNAcentral also lists the same sequence under 2 other names. Lineage: Bacteria; Pseudomonadati; Pseudomonadota; Gammaproteobacteria; Enterobacterales; Enterobacteriaceae.